GACGGAGGGUGCAAGCGUUAUUCGGAUUUAUUGGGCGUAAAGAGCGUGUAGGCGGUUGGUCAAGUCAGAUGUGAAAGCCCGGGGCUCAACCUCGGAAGUGCAUUUGAAACUGGUCGACUUGAGUUCGGGAGAGGGAAGUGGAAUUCCGGGUGUAGAGGUGAAAUUCGUAGAUAUCCGGAGGAACACCGGUGGCGAAGGCUACUUCCUGGACCGAAACUGACGCUGAGACGCGAAAGCGUGGGGAGCAAACAGG
This 253-nucleotide ribosomal RNA is filed under the name uncultured bacterium. RNAcentral describes it as "partial 16S ribosomal RNA". It matches the Rfam family "Bacterial small subunit ribosomal RNA", at positions 524 to 776 of the family's 1533-position model. The record is from RNAcentral.